Siniperca chuatsi (mandarin fish) is the source of this 363-nucleotide non-coding RNA. The record is from the annotation of a RefSeq genome assembly. Lineage: Eukaryota; Metazoa; Chordata; Actinopteri; Centrarchiformes; Sinipercidae.
AUGUUGGAUAAAGAGGGCAUUACUGUCAGUGUAAAGGGUUCAGGUUCAGGUUUGAACAUCCAAGCUUUGGUCCAUCAGUCAGCAUCUGAGACCAUCCAGCCAGGAGGCUCUGUGACUCUGAACUGUACAGUACACACUGGGACCUGUGAUGGAGAACACAGUGUUUACUGGUUCAGAAACUCUGAAGAAUCUCAUCCAGGACUCAUGUACACCCAUGGAGGCAGGAAUGAUCAGUGUGAGAGGAAACUCAACACAAACCCGCACCUGUGUUCAUGGGCACCUGAUACAAUUACAAACAGCAAUGCUGGAAUACAUGCAUGCAUCAUUUCCCAUGAAUACCUUCUACAUAUGCAGGUAAUUUGA